This is a long non-coding RNA of Suncus etruscus (white-toothed pygmy shrew), 283 nucleotides long. RefSeq lists it as uncharacterized. The transcript is spliced from 2 exons. Lineage: Eukaryota; Metazoa; Chordata; Mammalia; Eulipotyphla; Soricidae. The record is from RefSeq and is a predicted model, not a curated record.
ACUCUUGUGUAAAAAGUGUGAGUUCUUAUCCUUAGAAGAUAAGAUCUUGUGUCUGAGUCCAUGAUUUCCCCUUAUUUACUGUGCCUAUACAAAAACUUAUGGUGUCCUUUUGUAUUGCUGGUGCUAUUUCGGGUAAGGAUGACAUGCUACACACACAUAUCUGUGGUGUGGUCUGAGCUUUUAUUCCAGGCAAGACAUUUUCUUGGUUUUUGACCAAGCAGCACCAAAACUGGUGAGGGUAGAGAAAAUAUGUAUAUAUAAAAAAUAGAAUAUAUAGAUAAAA